This is a long non-coding RNA of Sander lucioperca (pikeperch), 503 nucleotides long. RefSeq lists it as uncharacterized. NCBI's taxonomy places the organism in Eukaryota, Metazoa, Chordata, Actinopteri, Perciformes, Percidae. The transcript is spliced from 3 exons. The record is from RefSeq and is a predicted model, not a curated record.
AUCAAUUCAUUUCUGAAUAGAAAGAGUCAUAACCGACCUUGUUUGCAGUUGGAGGUGUCCUGGCAGCAGUUUUACACAUGUCUCUUUUACAAUGGUGGUUAAUGAUUAAAAUCCUUUCUGGGUCGCAGAGGGAUUUUUUUUCAGUGCAAUACUGCCAGUGGCCACUGGACAAAAUCAGCUGUAUGUCCGAGCCUGAUUCGGAUGCCUCUGUUCCUCAAUAUAGUGAAAGAGUAACUGUGCAUUUAUGUAUAACACAUAAAAAAGUGUGUUGUUAGCAGAUAGAACCAGCACUAUUUUGGACACAUCUACCAUUGCACGAAAUCUCGCCUCAUUCUCUAAAGGAAAAAACAGCGCACACUCUGACGUUACAAGACAAAAACUCUGUUUUUCCUGUCUACACGUCAACACUGAAAACAGAGUUUCUGAACAUCUUCACUCUGAAAGGAGUUUUACAAAAGAUCCGUUUUCAGUUAACUGAAACACAGUUUGUGCAGACAAAAGAU